RNAcentral lists this ribosomal RNA (142 nucleotides) under Synergistaceae bacterium. RNAcentral's name for it is "partial 16S ribosomal RNA". It matches the Rfam family "Bacterial small subunit ribosomal RNA", at positions 1 to 131 of the family's 1533-position model. Lineage: Bacteria; Thermotogati; Synergistota; Synergistia; Synergistales; Synergistaceae. The record is from RNAcentral.
UGAGCUGAGAGUUUGAUCCUGGCUCAGGACGAACGCUGGCGGCGUGCUUAACACAUGCAAGUUGAACGACGGCUGUUUGAAGCGGCAACGCGGAGGGCGGUACGGAGUAGCGGACGGGUGAGUACAACAUGAGAAGCUAUCC